GUCCUUUAGUUAAGAAUAAUUUAAGGUCUAACCUGCCCAUUGAUUAAAUUAAAAGGCCGCAGUAAUUUGACUGUGCAAAGGUAGCAUAAUCAUUAGUUUUUUAAUUAAAAGCUUGUAUGAAUGGUUGGACGAGAUAAAAUCUGUCUCUUUAUAAAAAAUAGAAUUUAAUUUUUAAGUUAAAAAGCUUAAAUUUAAAUAAAAGACGAGAAGACCCUAUAGAUCUUUAUAUAAUUUUUUUUAGUAUUAAUAAAGAAGAUUUUAUUUAUUAAUUAAUUUUAUAUUUUAUUGGGGUAAUAAAAAGAUUAAAUAAAUUCUUUAAAAUUUAACAAAAAUUAUUGAUUAUAUGAUCCAUUAUUAAUGAUUAUAAGAUUAAGUUACCUUAGGGAUAACAGCGUAAUUUUUUUAAAGAGUUCUUAUCAAUAAAAAAGUUUGCGACCUCGAUGUUGGAUUAAAAGUAAUUUUGGGUGCAGAAGUUCAAAAUUUUGGUCUGUUCGACCAUUAAAU
This 504-nucleotide ribosomal RNA is filed under the name Hydroporus pubescens. RNAcentral describes it as "partial 16S ribosomal RNA". It matches the Rfam family "Bacterial large subunit ribosomal RNA", at positions 1819 to 2593 of the family's 2925-position model. The record is from RNAcentral. Lineage: Eukaryota; Metazoa; Arthropoda; Insecta; Coleoptera; Dytiscidae.